RNAcentral lists this non-coding RNA (21 nucleotides) under Arabidopsis thaliana (thale cress). The record is from RNAcentral. Lineage: Eukaryota; Viridiplantae; Streptophyta; Magnoliopsida; Brassicales; Brassicaceae.
UUUAUGUUUCUUGUGCCAGUA